UACGUAGGGUGCGAGCGUUGUCCGGAAUUAUUGGGCGUAAAGAGCUUGUAGGCGGUUUGUCGCGUCUGCCGGGAAAAUUCGAGGCUCAACCUCGAACUUGCGGUGGGUACGGGCAGACUAGAGUGUGGUAGGGGAGACUGGAAUUCCUGGUGUAGCGGUGAAAUGCGCAGAUAUCAGGAGGAACACCGAUGGCGAAGGCAGGUCUCUGGGCCACUACUGACGCUGAGAAGCGAAAGCAUGGGGAGCGAACAGG
This 253-nucleotide ribosomal RNA is filed under the name uncultured bacterium. RNAcentral describes it as "partial 16S ribosomal RNA". It matches the Rfam family "Bacterial small subunit ribosomal RNA", at positions 524 to 776 of the family's 1533-position model. The record is from RNAcentral.